This 1396-nucleotide small RNA is filed under the name Oryza sativa Japonica Group (Japanese rice). RNAcentral describes it as "sRNA Os05g0594750". Lineage: Eukaryota; Viridiplantae; Streptophyta; Magnoliopsida; Poales; Poaceae. The record is from RNAcentral.
GAUGCAGAUCUUCGCUCCAGUGAUGACUGUGAUAUUAAUCCUUCAAACUUAGACAUAAACAUCAGUAUAGUUGGAAGCAAUAUAAGGAAGACCUUCAAAGCAAUUCCUGGAAGAAAACCUUGGAUGAAUGAUUUGAUGACAUCACUGCACAAUAGGUUUCAGAAAUGGAAGCGCCUUUUCUAUUCCUUCAAGGCUUGCAAGAGAUUGCACGAAUGCUAUUGGAAUGACAUAAAAAAAGUUGAGGAAGAAGAAUGCCACAGCAACUAUCAGCCUCCUAACUGUGAGGGACACAAAUGGAAUGGAUAGAUUAUUCCAGUAGACAUCACGAGGUUCUGGAGCCCAUUCAGUUAUCCAGACUGUUGGAUUACUGGUUUGCUGUGUCUGAGCACAAACAGCAGCCCCCCACCGUGAACGAAAUGAAACAAAGGCUGCUGGAACAGCUGACUGGGGAUCCUUCAUGAUCUUUUGACGCUCAUCAGCUUCCUGCAUGUUGUUACACAUGAAUUUAUUGUUAUCUGACUGUUAGCUGUAAACAAAUUAAACUCCCACAAGGUGUGAAUACUAACCUUAGUGGUGGGCCUUUUUGAUGGAUUUCUUUCAUACUUGAGCUGGUAGUAAUCAAGCCAAUUUUGCAGUUUCUUCUUCUUCUCAACCAGAUCAGCAAGUUUAUUUGCAUUAUUACCUGGUGUCUUAGAUAAUGAUCAGGAUGAUUAACAAGGAAGAAAUGCUCCACGAGCUCACUAAUUGAUUCAUCAGGAUCUGGAGGUAUAUUCCGCACAAGAACCGUAAACUGGUCUGGUCGCCGUUUCUCUGAAGCAAGAAACCGCAAUCUCAUCGUUGUAAUUAUCUCAUACUCUCGGAACAGUACAUAGCAGGUCCAAAACGUGACAGCAUAAGCCAUAACCAAGUGAGCUUACCUGUUUGACCCAUAAGGUAUGUUUGAUAUUGAAAGUUUGUCAAUUUUACUGUGGACUACCUUCAUGCUGUCUAGGGUGUCAUUUGUCCAGUUCACAGGGAACAGAACAAGCGAAGCUAAAAUUGAUAUUGGAACGAAUAUCUUGAUCCUGUAAAAGGUAUAUCCGUAGAUAGACAGCGGAAUCAAGGCCUGCAUGAUUGAUCAACUCAUCCUCUGGCAUCUUGAGAGCAGCCGGCAUCCAACUUAAAAAUUUCAAGUAUGAUCUCAUGUUUAAAUUGACAACCUUUUGCACUGCAGCACCAGAGGAAACAGGGCUGUCUCUCAUUCCUCUGAGGUACCAUUUUGGAAAGUAAACCCUAUCGUUGAUGGGCUGUAAUCGUAGAAAAGCAAAGACCAGCAAGAAUGCAACGGCCAUCGAGACGUUGAUAGCCGCGGAGAGGCCGAUGUCAGAAACAGUGGCCAUGGCUGCCCUCUAGACAG